RNAcentral lists this ribosomal RNA (497 nucleotides) under uncultured bacterium. RNAcentral's name for it is "partial 16S ribosomal RNA". It matches the Rfam family "Bacterial small subunit ribosomal RNA", at positions 28 to 507 of the family's 1533-position model. The record is from RNAcentral.
GAUGAACGCUGGCGGCGUGCCUAAUACAUGCAAGUCGAGCGAACGGACGAGAAGCUUGCUUCUCUGAUGUUAGCGGCGGACGGGUGAGUAACACGUGGAUAACCUACCUAUAAGACUGGGAUAACUUCGGGAAACCGGAGCUAAUACCGGAUAAUAUUUUGAACCGCAUGGUUCAAAAGUGAAAGACGGUCUUGCUGUCACUUAUAGAUGGAUCCGCGCUGCAUUAGCUAGUUGGUAAGGUAACGGCUUACCAAGGCAACGAUGCAUAGCCGACCUGAGAGGGUGAUCGGCCACACUGGAACUGAGACACGGUCCAGACUCCUACGGGAGGCAGCAGUAGGGAAUCUUCCGCAAUGGGCGAAAACCUGACGGAGCAACGCCGCGUGAGUGAUGAAGGUCUUCGGAUCGUAAAACUCUGUUAUUAGGGAAGAACAUAUGUGUAAGUAACUGUGCACAUCUUGACGGUACCUAAUCAGAAAGCCACGGCUAACUACGUG